Molecule: ribosomal RNA, 254 nt
Filed under: uncultured bacterium
Lineage: Bacteria
Description: partial 16S ribosomal RNA
Rfam family: Bacterial small subunit ribosomal RNA
Source: RNAcentral
UACGGAGGGUGCAAGCGUUGUCCGGAUUUACUGGGUGUAAAGGGCGUGUAGGCGGAGUGAUGUGUCGGGAGUGAAAUCGUACGGCUUAACCGUAUCAACUGCUUCCGAAACUAUCACCCUUGAAUGUCAGAGGGGCAGAUGGAAUUCCUGGUGUAGCGGUGGAAUGCGUAGAUAUCAGGAAGAACACCGGUGGCGAAGGCGAUCUGCUGGCUGAACAUUGACGCUGAGGCGCGAAAGCGUGGGGAGCAAACAGG